GAUGAACGCUGGCGGCGUGCCUAACACAUGCAAGUCGAGCGAACAGACGAGGCGCUUGCCCUGCUUACGCUGCCGGCGGACGGGUGAGUAAUACGUGGCUACCCUAUCUUGGAGCCUGGGAUAACUUCGGGGACCCGGAGCCAAUAUCGGUUAUUAUAUUGAACCGCAUGGUUCAAUGGAGCACGCCCGUUCUGCUGUCACUUAUAGAGGGUACCGCGCUGCAUUAGCUAGUUGGUAGGGUAACGACUGACCAAGGCAACGAUGCGUAGCUGAUCUGAGAGGCUGAUCAGCCACACUGGAACUGAGACACGGUCCAGACUCCUACGGGAGGCAGCAGUAGGGAAUCUUCCGCAAUGGGCGAAAGCCUGACCCAGCCACGCCGCGUGAGUGAUGAAGGUCUUCGGAUCGUAAAGCUCUUUUAUUAGGGAGGAACGAAUGUGUAAGAAUCUAUGCACGUCUUGACGUUACCUACAGAGAAAGCCCCGGCUAACUUCGUG
RNAcentral lists this ribosomal RNA (497 nucleotides) under uncultured bacterium. RNAcentral describes it as "partial 16S ribosomal RNA". It matches the Rfam family "Bacterial small subunit ribosomal RNA", at positions 28 to 507 of the family's 1533-position model. The record is from RNAcentral.